This 411-nucleotide ribosomal RNA is filed under the name Cupriavidus sp. UFLA02-128. RNAcentral's name for it is "bacterial SSU rRNA". It matches the Rfam family "Bacterial small subunit ribosomal RNA", at positions 60 to 474 of the family's 1533-position model. The record is from RNAcentral. Lineage: Bacteria; Pseudomonadati; Pseudomonadota; Betaproteobacteria; Burkholderiales; Burkholderiaceae.
AGUCGACGGCAGCACGGGGGCAACCCUGGUGGCGAGUGGCGAACGGGUGAGUAAUACAUCGGAACGUGCCCUGUCGUGGGGGAUAACUAGUCGAAAGAUUAGCUAAUACCGCAUACGACCUGAGGGUGAAAGCGGGGGACCGUAAGGCCUCUCGCGACAGGAGCGGCCGAUGUCUGAUUAGCUAGUUGGUGGGGUAAAAGCCUACCAAGGCGACGAUCAGUAGCUGGUCUGAGAGGACGAUCAGCCACACUGGGACUGAGACACGGCCCACACUCCUACGGGAGGCAGCAGUGGGGAAUUUUGGACAAUGGGGGCAACCCUGAUCCACCAAUGCCGCGUGUGUGAAAAAAGCCUUCGGGUUGUAAAGCACUUUUGUCCGGAAAGAAAUGGCUCUGGUUAAUACCCGGGGUC